UGCCAAAGGAGAUUUGCCCAG
This 21-nucleotide microRNA is filed under the name Glycine max (soybean). Its description in RNAcentral is "gma-miR399d". Its record names the gene gma-miR399d. RNAcentral also lists the same sequence under 7 other names. The record is from miRBase by way of RNAcentral. Lineage: Eukaryota; Viridiplantae; Streptophyta; Magnoliopsida; Fabales; Fabaceae.